AGGGUUUGAUUAUGGCUCAGAACGUACGCUGGCGGCACGCCUAAUACAUGCAAGUCGAACGAAGUAGCAAUACUUAGUGGCAGACGGGUGAGUAACAUGUGGGUAUCUUCCCUUUGGUGAGGAAUAACACGAGGAAACUUGUGCUAAUACCUCAUAAGUCUUUACGGAGAAAGCUUUAUGCGCCAAUGGAUGAGCCCGCACUUGAUUAGUUUGUUGGUGGGGUAAUGGCCUACCAAGACAAUGAUCAAUAGCUGAUUUGAGAGGAUGAUCAGCCACAUUGGGACUGAGACACGGCCCAAACUCCUACGGGAGGCAGCAGUAGGGAAUCUUGCACAAUGGGGGAAACCCUGAUGCAGCGAUGCCGCGUGAGUGAAGAAGGCCCUUGGGUUGUAAAGCUCUUUCGUCGGGGAAGAAAAUGACUGUACCCGAAUAAGAAGGUCCGGCUAACUUCGUGCCAGCCGCCGCGGUAAUUC
This 473-nucleotide ribosomal RNA is filed under the name uncultured bacterium. Its description in RNAcentral is "bacterial SSU rRNA". It matches the Rfam family "Bacterial small subunit ribosomal RNA", at positions 8 to 526 of the family's 1533-position model. The record is from RNAcentral.